RNAcentral lists this long non-coding RNA (375 nucleotides) under Elaeis guineensis (African oil palm). RNAcentral describes it as "long non-coding RNA (EGUI_LNC077534)". Lineage: Eukaryota; Viridiplantae; Streptophyta; Magnoliopsida; Arecales; Arecaceae. The record is from RNAcentral.
ACGAAGUAAGACAAUUCCACACGAAAUAUGAUUUAGUUCCCAACAGAAAUAUUUAGGGCACAUCAAAAUCAGCCAUUCAAUUAGGUGGACAGGUUGGUGGUGGAUCUUGACCCAAUCGCCACAUACCAUGAUCACGCCAGUCCUGUUUGGGGAUAAAAUUUCCAAGAAGAUAUAGACCAAAGGCAGUAGAACUAGUCCCACAACCUCUAUAUAAGGAGGUGAAGAGCACAUGCAUAUAUCAAGGCAAUCUAGAGAUAAAUCUCUAUUAGAAUUAUUCUCCAUGGCAAACCGAAGCAAAGUAUCCAGGGCUGCCGUUGCAUUACUCAUUGGACUCCUCGUAGCAAUCCCAACAGGUACUCUCUCUCUCUCUCUCUC